This 522-nucleotide long non-coding RNA is filed under the name Centruroides sculpturatus (bark scorpion). Its description in RNAcentral is "uncharacterized LOC111612363, transcript variant X1". The record is from RNAcentral. Lineage: Eukaryota; Metazoa; Arthropoda; Arachnida; Scorpiones; Buthidae.
GUUUAUACUCCUAUUUACAUAUGUGGUAUUAUAUCUUAUUUAAUAUUGAAAAUAUUAAAUAAAAUCAGUAAAAAGUAGACUUAUUCAAGUGAUAAGUGUAUAAUUUCAUAAUAGAAAGAAGGAGAUAGAAACCAGAAUUGUUCAUUUUCCCAUCUUGGAUCAUCGAUCUGGCUACCAAUCUGACCAGCUGCCGAUUCUCUACCUCUUCGUCUUAUAAUCGGACAGUUUAAAAAUGGCAUUAAAACCCUCUCCGAUCAACACACUCCAGCUGUUCCUCUCAAAUAGACGAGUAGAAUGCAAUUAGACUUACAUUUAGUCAAUGGAAAGUUAUAGUUUGAAGAAUUUAAAAUGGAUAAUUUAGAAUCUUUAAAUCACGAUACAAAACGAAAAGCAAGGGAAUUUCUCGUAAACAACCGUAUCAAUAUCAAGUCUAAGAACUUUGUAAAUUGAUAUAGAUACUUUUUGAUAGAUCUGUAGAAUACGGAAGAUCCAUUAAAGAAAAAAAUAUAUAUAUACCUUAAU